This 2930-nucleotide ribosomal RNA is filed under the name Escherichia coli. RNAcentral describes it as "23S ribosomal RNA". It matches the Rfam family "Bacterial large subunit ribosomal RNA". The record is from RNAcentral. Lineage: Bacteria; Pseudomonadati; Pseudomonadota; Gammaproteobacteria; Enterobacterales; Enterobacteriaceae.
GGGUUGUGAGGUUAAGCGACUAAGCGUACACGGUGGAUGCCCUGGCAGUCAGAGGCGAUGAAGGACGUGCUAAUCUGCGAUAAGCGUCGGUAAGGUGAUAUGAACCGUUAUAACCGGCGAUUUCCGAAUGGGGAAAUCCAGUGUGUUUCGACACACUAUCAUUAACUGAAUCCAUAGGUUAAUGAGGCGAACCGGGGGAACUGAAACAUCUAAGUACCCCGAGGAAAAGAAAUCAACCGAGAUUCCCCCAGUAGCGGCGAGCGAACGGGGAGCAGCCCAGAGCCUGAAUCAGUGUGUGUGUUAGUGGAAGCGUCUGGAAAGGCGCGCGAUACAGGGUGACAGCCCCGUACACAAAAAUACACAUACUGUGAGCUCGAUGAGUAGGGCGGGACACGUGGUAUCCUGUCUGAAUAUGGGGGGACCAUCCUCCAAGGCUAAAUACUCCUGACUGACCGAUAGUGAACCAGUACCGUGAGGGAAAGGCGAAAAGAACCCCGGCGAGGGGAGUGAAAAAGAACCUGAAACCGUGUACGUACAAGCAGUGGGAGCACGCUUAGGCGUGUGACUGCGUACCUUUUGUAUAAUGGGUCAGCGACUUAUAUUCUGUAGCAAGGUUAACCGAAUAGGGGAGCCGAAGGGAAACCGAGUCUUAACUGGGCGUUAAGUUGCAGGGUAUAGACCCGAAACCCGGUGAUCUAGCCAUGGGCAGGUUGAAGGUUGGGUAACACUAACUGGAGGACCGAACCGACUAAUGUUGAAAAAUUAGCGGAUGACUUGUGGCUGGGGGUGAAAGGCCAAUCAAACCGGGAGAUAGCUGGUUCUCCCCGAAAGCUAUUUAGGUAGCGCCUCGUGAAUUCAUCUCCGGGGGUAGAGCACUGUUUCGGCAAGGGGGUCAUCCCGACUUACCAACCCGAUGCAAACUGCGAAUACCGGAGAAUGUUAUCACGGGAGACACACGGCGGGUGCUAACGUCCGUCGUGAAGAGGGAAACAACCCAGACCGCCAGCUAAGGUCCCAAAGUCAUGGUUAAGUGGGAAACGAUGUGGGAAGGCCCAGACAGCCAGGAUGUUGGCUUAGAAGCAGCCAUCAUUUAAAGAAAGCGUAAUAGCUCACUGGUCGAGUCGGCCUGCGCGGAAGAUGUAACGGGGCUAAACCAUGCACCGAAGCUGCGGCAGCGACGCUUAUGCGUUGUUGGGUAGGGGAGCGUUCUGUAAGCCUGCGAAGGUGUGCUGUGAGGCAUGCUGGAGGUAUCAGAAGUGCGAAUGCUGACAUAAGUAACGAUAAAGCGGGUGAAAAGCCCGCUCGCCGGAAGACCAAGGGUUCCUGUCCAACGUUAAUCGGGGCAGGGUGAGUCGACCCCUAAGGCGAGGCCGAAAGGCGUAGUCGAUGGGAAACAGGUUAAUAUUCCUGUACUUGGUGUUACUGCGAAGGGGGGACGGAGAAGGCUAUGUUGGCCGGGCGACGGUUGUCCCGGUUUAAGCGUGUAGGCUGGUUUUCCAGGCAAAUCCGGAAAAUCAAGGCUGAGGCGUGAUGACGAGGCACUACGGUGCUGAAGCAACAAAUGCCCUGCUUCCAGGAAAAGCCUCUAAGCAUCAGGUAACAUCAAAUCGUACCCCAAACCGACACAGGUGGUCAGGUAGAGAAUACCAAGGCGCUUGAGAGAACUCGGGUGAAGGAACUAGGCAAAAUGGUGCCGUAACUUCGGGAGAAGGCACGCUGAUAUGUAGGUGAAGUCCCUUGCGGAUGGAGCUGAAAUCAGUCGAAGAUACCAGCUGGCUGCAACUGUUUAUUAAAAACACAGCACUGUGCAAACACGAAAGUGGACGUAUACGGUGUGACGCCUGCCCGGUGCCGGAAGGUUAAUUGAUGGGGUUAGCGCAAGCGAAGCUCUUGAUCGAAGCCCCGGUAAACGGCGGCCGUAACUAUAACGGUCCUAAGGUAGCGAAAUUCCUUGUCGGGUAAGUUCCGACCUGCACGAAUGGCGUAAUGAUGGCCAGGCUGUCUCCACCCGAGACUCAGUGAAAUUGAACUCGCUGUGAAGAUGCAGUGUACCCGCGGCAAGACGGAAAGACCCCGUGAACCUUUACUAUAGCUUGACACUGAACAUUGAGCCUUGAUGUGUAGGAUAGGUGGGAGGCUUUGAAGUGUGGACGCCAGUCUGCAUGGAGCCGACCUUGAAAUACCACCCUUUAAUGUUUGAUGUUCUAACGUUGACCCGUGAUCCGGGUUGCGGACAGUGUCUGGUGGGUAGUUUGACUGGGGCGGUCUCCUCCUAAAGAGUAACGGAGGAGCACGAAGGUUGGCUAAUCCUGGUCGGACAUCAGGAGGUUAGUGCAAUGGCAUAAGCCAGCUUGACUGCGAGCGUGACGGCGCGAGCAGGUGCGAAAGCAGGUCAUAGUGAUCCGGUGGUUCUGAAUGGAAGGGCCAUCGCUCAACGGAUAAAAGGUACUCCGGGGAUAACAGGCUGAUACCGCCCAAGAGUUCAUAUCGACGGCGGUGUUUGGCACCUCGAUGUCGGCUCAUCACAUCCUGGGGCUGAAGUAGGUCCCAAGGGUAUGGCUGUUCGCCAUUUAAAGUGGUACGCGAGCUGGGUUUAGAACGUCGUGAGACAGUUCGGUCCCUAUCUGCCGUGGGCGCUGGAGAACUGAGGGGGGCUGCUCCUAGUACGAGAGGACCGGAGUGGACGCAUCACUGGUGUUCGGGUUGUCAUGCCAAUGGCACUGCCCGGUAGCUAAAUGCGGAAGAGAUAAGUGCUGAAAGCAUCUAAGCACGAAACUUGCCCCGAGAUGAGUUCUCCCUGACUCCUUGAGAGUCCUGAAGGAACGUUGAAGACGACGACGUUGAUAGGCCGGGUGUGUAAGCGCAGCGAUGCGUUGAGCUAACCGGUACUAAUGAACCGUGAGGCUUAACCUUACAACGCCGAAGCUGUU